Tyto alba (common barn owl) is the source of this 3809-nucleotide long non-coding RNA. RefSeq lists it as uncharacterized. The record is from RefSeq and is a predicted model, not a curated record. Lineage: Eukaryota; Metazoa; Chordata; Aves; Strigiformes; Tytonidae. The transcript is spliced from 2 exons.
UAUUUGUUCUGUCUAAAAAUAAAUUUGCUUACUUGUGUAGUCUUAACUGUCUGCUCUGAUUCUUAUAAUCAGAUUUAUUGCCCCUCCAAGGUGCCUGCACAGCGGCUCUCUUUUGUGUGCUUCCCAUGAAGGCGAGAAGGAAAUCUGUCUGCCUGGGAGGGGAAAUCAUUUCAGCCAAGACUCAGACUAUAAAUGUUUCUCUCUCGGUUAUCUUGCGUUCAUCUCCCCAAGGCUUCUCAAUUUGACGCCCUUUUUUUUUUUUCAAGUUUUUCAUCAUCAGACCCUUCUAUCCGGUAAGUGUGCGACAGAGGAAUGGCCGUGCUUCAGCUCUCUUAAUUUAAGAGAUUAAAUUAUUGCUGGCGCAUUUCUUGAGGGUAAGUCAUUCCCGAAGGCGGUAUUUUGCAUUCGAGAAUGAGGGGAUUUAUGGCUGUGAGCUCGCUGAAAGCAUCAAGCGGCCGAAAGCUGUGGACAUUGGCUUCUGACACCGGUUCGGUCUUACGGCACACUGUGUUAGUGUGCAGCUGGCAUCAGCCGCUGGAGACGUCGCGGCGGAAGGCAGUGCCCUCAAAAGGCUGGAAAACCGAUUUGCACUUGCGUUUCCAGGGACGUAAUCAAAUCAGCCAGCGGGUUCAAUAAAAGGGACAAGCAAACAUGCCAGAUUUGCGUGCGUUUGCAAACAAAACCUGUUGCAAGACUCUCAGGUUUUAAGGUUUUUUCCCCCACCACCGCCCCCCAAAAAAGCUAUUUUUGGAUGAAAAAUGUUGCAGGCUGCUGCAGGAAGCCAUUUUAUAUUCCCUUAAAGUCAUAUCUGUAGCUAAAAGGACACAUUUCAGGGAAGUUCAUGCGAGGGCUUGGGCUGUCACCCUUCCUUCCCUUUGGAAACUGUCCCUGUGCAUACGUUAUGGUCACAGAGUCCAUUUUCAGUGAUUUAUCCCCCUCUCCAGGCACCGUCCGCCCUCUCCUUGCCUCUUUCCUCCCCCUCUGACCUAUCUCCAGCUUUUUUUCCCAGUUUAUCAAGGUUUUCUAGAUGUUUCCUGCUGCUCCUCGCAGCACGAGCAGCACUGCCUGUGGUGACGGACGCUGGCACGAGAAGGAGGGAGCAGAGAUGAAUCCCGUGGGGAGAAGCUGGGAACAAGAAGCCCGGCUUCAUGCAGGCUGCCGUCGGGUGUACUGUUAGGAAGACGCCACUCUGGGAAGCAGUGGAUAAGCCCAGGCAAUGCCUUCCAUAGGCGGUGGUGGCAGUAAGUAAUUAUUUCUGAUUUGGGCUCCCUUAAGCUUUAUAUCGCACCCUAAAAGAUCAAGUUUCAGUGGAAAAAUCACAAAAAUAAGAAAGCAAGGGUACCCAGUGAGUGGUUUGAUGUUACAGAGCCAGCGUUUCUCUAUUUUUUUUGUUGCCUUUCAUGCCACUUUCACCAGCAUUGCCUUUUCAGAAGGCUUUAGCGCAGAAAUUAUUAGAUUUUAGAGAAAGUAGUGGAAAAUCCACUUGCUCAGCGCUGAAAAGCACCGGGGGCUGGGGGCUGUCGCGCAGGGAGAUCUCCAGCAAACAGGCCCCAAAAAAAGAAAGAAAACCAACCUGUCACCCUGAGCAAAUCCCCUGUUUUUAGAUGGGGAGAUGGGAGCCUGGUGCCCCCUAAAAAUCUGAAGCCAGAGCUGCUGGCCACCCUGGCUCCCAACGGAGAUGGUCUCAGCAAAGGCAGCCUUCACCAAGACUUGUGCACCCACAGCCCCGAGGGCAUCAUUCUUUGGCCCUGAGCGUGUAUUUUUUGAGGUGGCUAAAAGCCUUGUUGGGAGAGACAGAUGGAUAUCUUCAGAAAAGGCUGCUGAGGAGGAAAAGAGCCAGCUUCUCUUUGAAUUCAACCAGCUGUUUGAAUUCAAGCUUCUCUUUGAAUUCAAGCCCUGUCCAAACCCAGUGAGGCCUGUCCGCUUCAAACUGGGAAACCCCAUAACAAGGUGGAUGAGAAAUGCCAACUCUUGGUGUCGAGGUGUUAUGAAAGUCACGCCCAAGAAAAUCCCGAGCUCACGUCGUGGUAUUUGCUGCCCUGAGGGAAAUGCUGAAAGAAGCCCACCCUGCAGAUCUCAGGAAGCUGCAGAUGCUAAUGGGAAGAUGUAGGGAGCAUUCUGAGCCCCUGAAAAAAGUAUUUUCAGAUUUUGCAGGAGGAAGGUGUAGGCACCCUUUUGAUCACUGAUGAAAAUGCACUGGGUAAAGAAAGGCAGGGUUAGUAUCACCACUGUAAAGCCCUGAGCUGUUGAGACCCACGUUGAGGUAGUCGUGAUGUGUGAAACAGUUUGCUUCCUACAGAAUUCAAUAGCAAAAAAGUAGGGGCAGAAAGAUUUCAGAGCUUAUUGUGGUUUGAUUUAUUGCUUCUCCCCGAGUUACUUCAAUGCCAAGAGCAAAUGGCUUCCUCCCCAUUACUGAAAGAUCAUUUGAGAGAAACCUGGGGAAGAGCAGUUAGGUUGGCCAUCUCCAGUAGCCAGCUAAACCACAGCCAGAGCUGGUUAUGGGAUUGCUUGGAUGUUUAAAGUCAGCUGCCAGGAAAGAUUUGGGGAAAAUGGCUCAUAUUGUGGGAAUGAGGCAGACCACUGAGCAGGUGAAGUGUGUCCAUGGCAGGGAAGGGCACUCCGUCCUCUCACUGCCCGGCCACCAAAUGCUGAGGAACUGGAGGAAGAUUGCGCCACUGCAAAAUAAGGGGGAUCGUGGCAGCUGACCUGCCCGGUGGCCGAGGAGGGAUCGGUGAGUCUCAGACCUCAGCGUGUAACCUCAAACUCCUCUCUUGCCUGCCGGGGAGCCAAGACAUACGCCGUCUUCUGCACAGAUAAAGCUGCUUUACACGCUUCAACCGUCGCAGGAGAGCCACGUCCAGGGCGAGCUCUGCAUCCCGGCUCCUGUUUCGGAACCACAUCCUUCCUCUCAGUCCAUUGGGUUGAUCCAAGGAUGAUCCUGGUUCAGGCUGCAACAGCCUUAGGGGUGAGGUUUUGCUGCUCCUUUGCUGACGCUGGGGAGAGGAUCCCCCCCAUCUCUGAUCGAUACCUAAGAAACCUCUUUAGUUCCUGAUAAGGAACCAAAAGAAAUGUAUCCAUUCAAGCUUUCCAAUUAGGCUUUUCCUAUUAAACGUUUUAAUGGUGGUAAGGAGUCAGUAAAUAGAAAUUUAUCACCAAAGUGUAUGUGUACAUGGAUAUAUAAACAUACGUCUCCAUAUACUGAGACAGAUAUGUUGGCAAGUAGUUACUGGAUAGUUGUUUCCAGUGUAAAACUUAGAAUAAUAAUCAACUUAUUAGUUAGCACAUAUGCAACUAACUAGCUUAGCUAGCUUGCUAACAACUAGCUAAUGCUGUUCUCUGGUUUUGCUGCAAGCCUCGGAGUACAUGGUAUUUCUCCCAGCAGGGGCGACAUGAGACUUCAAUGCUAACAUGUGGCCUUCUUUCUGAUUUUGUUUCCUUGUACUACAUAAUGAGGAAAACUUAAAAAUUUGAAAGGCAUAAAUGAAAGACAUAUAUAAAAGCCACCCGACAUUUGUUUUAAUGCUGCACCAUAGCCUCCUGAGAGCCAAGACCAUUUUUUGGGGUUAUUUUGGACAAGCCACGGGUUGAUUUUUAUGGUGGGUAUCGGUCUCCUUUCUGCUCUUGAAGGCACACCAUCCGUGCUGUCCUUGGGAAGCUCUCGGUGAAAAGAUUUAUUGUCCGUUGCCAGGCUGGAGCUUUCGCCUUACCCCAGAGCUGUUCUCUGCUGCAGUGCCACAAACAUGGGCAUUUUGCUUAAAAAUAACCUGCUGGAAACAAAUGAGCAAAUAAAACAUCCAAGUGUAUGCAAA